RNAcentral lists this long non-coding RNA (718 nucleotides) under Trifolium pratense (red clover). RNAcentral describes it as "long non-coding RNA (TPRA_LNC011399)". Lineage: Eukaryota; Viridiplantae; Streptophyta; Magnoliopsida; Fabales; Fabaceae. The record is from RNAcentral.
UUUGGGACGGAUGGAGUUAAGAGGGAAAUAAAUUCAAGUUUUCACAAAAUAUGCAUACAAAUAUUUAUCAAAUAGGGUUACAAUUUUUUAUAAAAAAAAAUAGGGUUACAAUUAAUUAUAACAAGACAAAAUUAAGAUGGUUCCAAACACAACCCAACAAAUAAGACACAAAUUUCAUAGCUAAAGACAGAUUUGCAGAAUUCCAACUCGGGUGGUGUUAAGCAUUUUCCCAAAACUUGAUUGUUUCUUCAUCAACUUGUAACCUCAUUUCAUUAUGGAGGUCGUGCAACAACGAGGAAGCAUAAGCUACAAAUAUAAUUUGGGUAUUAUGUUAGAAAAAAAAAUUAAAGCAACUAUAAAAUUUCAAUCAAAUUGUAAAAUAGAUAUUUCAACUACCUCUCCUUGAAUGCUUGGAGUGAAGUUUUGUGCUAUGUCUAUCCAGUCGAUCACCAAACAGCAUUAUUAUCACUGAACAUCAAUAUACUAAACACUUAAUAUGCUAGACAUAAAGUUUAAGUAAACAAAAUAGUAAAUUAAGAGUAAAGUUUAUAUACCUACACUAGUAGAAAAAUGACUUUUGGUUUGGAGAUACCACUACCGGUAUGUGAAUACCAGUAGUGAAAUACAUUUGACCAAAGGAUUCCACUACUGAUAUUUUUAAAACGGUAGUGAAAAGUUCAGAGACAAGGGAUUUCACUACCGGCUUUGCUAAAUCCGU